UACGAAGGGGGCUAGCGUUGCUCGGAAUCACUGGGCGUAAAGCGCACGUAGGCGGAUUCUUAAGUCAGGGGUGAAAUCCCGGAGCUCAACUCCGGAACUGCCUUUGAUACUGGACACCUAGAGUACGGGAGAGGUGUGUGGAACUCCGAGUGUAGAGGUGAAAUUCGUAGAUAUUCGGAGGAACACCAGAAGCGAAGGCGGCCAACUGGCCCGAUACUGACGCUGAGGCGCGAAAGCGUGGGGAGCAAACAGG
RNAcentral lists this ribosomal RNA (253 nucleotides) under uncultured bacterium. RNAcentral describes it as "partial 16S ribosomal RNA". It matches the Rfam family "Bacterial small subunit ribosomal RNA", at positions 524 to 776 of the family's 1533-position model. The record is from RNAcentral.